GUAAACCUCUGGCUCAUUCUUGCCCUGUGGCUCUAGAGACUGUCUUAUCUUGGAGAUGAUUUCCCCUUCUGAAUCUGAACUUGAAUCGGAUAUUGUCCUUGUUUUGCUUGCUCUGUUGUUGCCAUCUUCCAGGUCUCUGCAGCCUAUCACCAGAAACAUUCUUGUUUCCUUGGCAAUGAUUUGGACCACCAUGACUAUCUGAAUCAUUCUCAUGGGAAUCUUGUCUUGAGAACUUCAACUCCUCCGGGAUAUCUUGGGUGUCGUCUCUAGGAUCAGGAUCUUUCAAAAUAUGCUGUUUUAGUCAAGUAAGGCAAGAUAUCCUACCUUAGGAGCCAAAGGAGAAUCAUCCUCCAGAUGCAGUGUGAGGCCAUUCUCAGAAGCAAUUUUCAUCAGCACUUUCCAUCUGGUUUCCAAGCUUGGUUGUCUUGAUGAUAGCUUUUGUAUCAUCUACAAAAUUCAAGAUACCAGUUACUGGAAGCUCUCGAGAAAAUUUGAUAUUCGAACUUUCAACUCUUCACUCCUUACCUUGGGAUUUACGCCACAGGGGUUGCGUAAUUCAAUAGCACGGGCUGCAAAUCCUUUACUGAUCUUUGCUGAGAAAAUACUACGAAUUUCUUGCAGCUCUGGGAACUCCCCGCAUCUUGAAGAUGCAAAGAUUAAGUUUGACAUCGUCUCCUUCAGCUCGACUGGAAACUCUCUACAUAAACAUGAGCACACACAUAAGGUCAACGGUCUCUAACAGAAGCUGGCAGUACUUCUCUAUCAGGACAAACACAUCCAAGGUAUUCUGCUCCUUGAUCACAUGCUCAACCUGUGCAUACGUUCAAGAAAAACAUUAGAAGAUGACAGAGAGAUAGACA
Tripterygium wilfordii is the source of this 860-nucleotide long non-coding RNA. RefSeq lists it as uncharacterized. NCBI's taxonomy places the organism in Eukaryota, Viridiplantae, Streptophyta, Magnoliopsida, Celastrales, Celastraceae. The transcript is spliced from 4 exons. The record is from RefSeq and is a predicted model, not a curated record.